UGGGGAAUCUUGCGCAAUGGACGAAAGUCUGACGCAGCCACGCCGCGUGAGUGAAGAAGGCCUUCGGGUUGUAAAGCUCUGUCGGAGGGGACAAAAACCAUUAAGGUGAAUAGCCUUAGUGCUUGAUGGUACCCUCAAAGGAAGCACCGGCUAACUUCGUGCCAGCAGCCGCGGUAAUACGAAGGGUGCAAGCGUUGCUCGGAAUUAUUGGGCGUAAAGGGUAGGUAGGUGGUUGCGUAUGUCUGAGGUGAAAUCCCCGAGCUUAACUUGGGAAGUGCCUUGGAAACGGCGUAACUAGAGUAUUGGAGAGGUUCGUGGAAUUCCCGGUGUAGCGGUGAAAUGCGUAGAGAUCGGGAGGAACAUCAGAGGCGAAGGCGACGAACUGGACAAUUACUGACACUGAACUACGAAAGCGUGGGGAGCAAACA
This 428-nucleotide ribosomal RNA is filed under the name uncultured bacterium. RNAcentral describes it as "bacterial SSU rRNA". It matches the Rfam family "Bacterial small subunit ribosomal RNA", at positions 355 to 774 of the family's 1533-position model. The record is from RNAcentral.